Molecule: ribosomal RNA, 253 nt
Filed under: uncultured bacterium
Lineage: Bacteria
Description: partial 16S ribosomal RNA
Rfam family: Bacterial small subunit ribosomal RNA
Source: RNAcentral
UACGGGGGGGGCAAGCGUUGUUCGGAAUUACUGGGCGUAAAGGGCUCGUAGGCGGUCUGUCACGUCGGCUGUGAAAACCCGGGGCUCAACCCCGGGCCUGCAGUCGAUACGGGCAGACUAGAGUUCGGUAGGGGAGACUGGAAUUCCUGGUGUAGCGGUGAAAUGCGCAGAUAUCAGGAGGAACACCGGUGGCGAAGGCGGGUCUCUGGGCCGAUACUGACGCUGAGGAGCGAAAGCGUGGGGAGCGAACAGG